This 452-nucleotide ribosomal RNA is filed under the name uncultured Sphingobacteriales bacterium. Its description in RNAcentral is "bacterial SSU rRNA". It matches the Rfam family "Bacterial small subunit ribosomal RNA", at positions 930 to 1382 of the family's 1533-position model. Lineage: Bacteria; Pseudomonadati; Bacteroidota; Sphingobacteriia; Sphingobacteriales. The record is from RNAcentral.
CGGAGGAACAUUGUGGUUUAAUUCGAUGAUACGCGAGGAACCUUACCCGGGCUUAAAUGUAGAGUGCAUUUUUAGAGAUAGAAAUUCCCUUCGGGGCUUUCUGCAAGGUGCUGCAUGGUUGUCGUCAGCUCGUGCCGUGAGGUGUCGGGUUAAGUCCCAUAACGAGCACAACCCUUAUCGUUAGUUGCCAGCUGGUAAAGCAGGGGACUCUAGCGAAACUGCCACCGUAAGGUGAGAGGAAGGUGGGGAUGACGUCAAAUCAGCACGGCCCUUAUGUCCAGGGCUACACACGUGUUACAAUGGCCGGCACAGAGGGCAGCUACCUGGUGACAGGAUGCUAAUCUCGAAAACCGGUCUCAGUUCGGAUCGAAGUCUGCAACUCGACUUCGUGAAGCUGGAUUCGCUAGUAAUCGCGCAUCAGCCAUGGCGCGGUGAAUACGUUCCCGGGCCUU